ACCCAACAAAAGCCCCAUUCUAAAUAGAGGCGCCAGAGCUCCAAAAAUGGAGAAUAAGAAAAAUUAGAAAAAAAAUGUAAAUAAAAACUGAAAACAAGUGUAGGGGGAAGGUCAAUCGCCACAAACAGUCGGACCAUUUCUAAACUAAACCUUACUGGAAACUUAUUUUAGUGAGAAGGAGGAGUGUUUUUUAGAGAGAGAGAGAGAGAG
RNAcentral lists this unclassified non-coding RNA (210 nucleotides) under Hevea brasiliensis (rubber tree). Lineage: Eukaryota; Viridiplantae; Streptophyta; Magnoliopsida; Malpighiales; Euphorbiaceae. The record is from RNAcentral.